AGAGUUUGAUCAUGGCUCAGGACGAACGCUGACGGUGUGCUUUAGGCAUGCAAGUCGAACGAGAAAGCCCUUCGGGGUGAGUAAAGUGGCGAACGGGUGAGUAACACGUGGGCAACCUGCCCCUCGCAGGGGGACAACCGGAGGAAACUCCGGCUAAUACCCCGUACGCUUGUUGGGUCGCAUGGCUCGGCAAGGAAAGGUAGCUUCGGCCAUCCGGCGAGGGAUGGGCCCGCGUUGCAUUAGCUAGUUGGUGGGGUAACGGCCCACCAAGGCGACGAUGCGUAGCUGGUCUGAGAGGAUGAUCAGCCACACUGGGACUGAGACACGGCCCAGACUCCUACGGGAGGCAGCAGCCAGGAAUCUUGGGCAAUGGGCGAAAGCCUGACCCAGCAACACCGUGUGGGCGACGAAGGCCUUAGGGUCGUAAAGCCCUGUUGAUAGGGACGAAGGGCGAAGGGUUAAUAGCCCCUAGCUUGACGGUACCUUUCGAGGAAGCCCCGGCUAACUACGUGCCAGCAGCCGCGGUAAUACGUAGGGGGCGAGCGUUGUCCGGAAUUAUUGGGCGUAAAGAGCGUGUAGGCGGUUCGGUAAGUCUGCUGUGAAAUCCUGGGGCUCAACCCCGGGCGUGCAGCGGAUACUGCCGGGCUAGAGGAUGGUAGAGGCGAGUGGAAUUCCGAGUGUAGCGGUGAAAUGCGCAGAUAUCGGGAGGAACACCAGUAGCGAAGGCGGCUCGCUGGGCCAUUCCUGACGCUGAGACGCGAAAGCUAGGGGAGCGAACAGGAUUAGAUACCCCAGUAGUCC
RNAcentral lists this ribosomal RNA (801 nucleotides) under uncultured Rubrobacter sp. Its description in RNAcentral is "bacterial SSU rRNA". It matches the Rfam family "Bacterial small subunit ribosomal RNA", at positions 8 to 796 of the family's 1533-position model. Lineage: Bacteria; Bacillati; Actinomycetota; Rubrobacteria; Rubrobacterales; Rubrobacteraceae. The record is from RNAcentral.